Long non-coding RNA from Oncorhynchus keta (chum salmon), 1582 nucleotides. RefSeq lists it as uncharacterized. The record is from RefSeq and is a predicted model, not a curated record. NCBI's taxonomy places the organism in Eukaryota, Metazoa, Chordata, Actinopteri, Salmoniformes, Salmonidae. The transcript has 3 exons.
CGAGGCAAUUCCAAGUUGUGUGUUCUUAAGAGCCAAGUCAAGUUGGGUCACAAGUUUCCAAGUCAAAUCUCAAGUCAAGUAAAAAGGAAAUCUAUAUUUGCAACGACUUGAUCAGCUACAAAUAUUUGUCUAUUUAUCAAGGCUACAGGACAGGACAGCCCUUUUCAUUAUUUUGUCUUUGACAUGUUUUUAUUAGCCUAUGGAAUUGUAAAAUAUGGACCUUCUAGCAUGAAAUCAGCAGAAGGAAAGGCAGGUUGACAAUCAGCAGAAGGAAAGGCAGGUUGACAAUCAGCAGAAGGAAAGGCAGGUUGACAAUCAGCAGAAGGAAAGGCAGGUUGACAAUCAGCAGAAGGAAAGGCAGGUUGACAAUCAGCAGAAGGAAAGGCAGGUUGACAAUCAGCAGAAGGAAAGGCAGGUUGACAAUCAGCAGAAGGAAAGGCAGGUUGACAAUCAGCAGAAGGAAAGGCAGGUUGACAAUCAGCAGAAGGAAAGGCAGGUUGACAAUCAGCAGAAGGAAAGGCAGGUUGACAAUCAGCAGAAGGAAAGGCAGGUUGACAAUCAGCAGAAGGAAAGGCAGGUUGACAAUCAGCAGAAGGAAAGGCAGGUUGACAAUCAGCAGAAGGAAAGGCAGGUUGACAAUCAGCAGAAGGAAAGGCAGGUUGACAAUCAGCAGAAGGAAAGGCAGGUUGACAAUCAGCAGAAGGAAAGGCAGGUUGACAAUCAGCAGAAGGAAAGGCAGGUUGACAAUCAGCAGAAGGAAAGGCAGGUUGACAAUCAGCAGAAGGAAAGGCAGGUUGACAAUCAGCAGAAGGAAAGGCAGGUUGACAAUCAGCAGAAGGAAAGGCAGGUUGACAAUCAGCAGAAGGAAAGGCAGGUUGACAAUCAGCAGAAGGAAAGGCAGGUUGACAAUCAGCAGAAGGAAAGGCAGGUUGACAAUCAGCAGAAGGAAAGGCAGGUUGACAAUCAGCAGAAGGAAAGGCAGGUUGACAAUCAGCAGAAGGAAAGGCAGGUUGACAAUCAGCAGAAGGAAAGGCAGGUUGACAAUCAGCAGAAGGAAAGGCAGGUUGACAAUCAGCAGAAGGAAAGGCAGGUUGACAUUCAGCAGAAGGAAAGGCAGGUUGACGUGCUCAGUGUAGAUUUAUUUACGGGUCUUGGUGAUCCAAUGGUGAAAGCUCCAUAUCAUACAAAAUAUACAAGUCCAUUAACCAAAUAUACAUGGGCAAUAGACCAAAAGAAAUAGCCUCUAUAUCAGGCUUAACCUGAACUAUCUAAACGGACACUGGUAGCUGGCAAGACUGUACAGCUUCCCCUUGAGAAAUCAAAUCCAUCAAACAAGAGCUCAAACUGGUAGGCCUACAUAAUAUAAACACUUGGACCCGAGACCAUACCUUUACCCAAUUGGCAAUUGCAACCAUUAAACUGGUUCUACAACAUAAAAGGCUAUUUCCACAUAUAUUGUUACAUUGGUACAUUCAUCUUAAUCCGACAAUUAUAUUUCAACACCAUGCAUACAAGGAACAGUAAUGUUAUCUUAUUCAGUGUUCUGACUCCAAAGCGUGGAGAGCAGGCCAUGUAGCUUACU